GAGAGACAGAGAGUUAGAGAGACAGAGAGUUAGAGAGACAGCGAUAAAGAAAGAGAGAGUGAGAGAGAGAGAGCAUAGAGAGACAGAGAGAGCAUAGAGAGACAGAGAGUUAGAGAGACAGCGAUAAAGAAAGAGAGAGUGAGAGAGAGAGAGCAUAGAGAGACAGAGAGUUAGAGAGACAGCGAUAAAGAAAGAGAGAGUGAGAGAGAGAGAGCAUAGAGAGACAGAGACAUUGAGAGACAGAGAGUUAGAGAGACAGCGAUAAAGAAAGAGAGAGAGAGAGAGAGAGAGCAUAGAGAGACAGAGAGUUAGAGAGACAGCGAUAAAGAAAGAGUGAGAGAGAGAGAAGCAUAGAGAGACAGAGAGUUAGAGAGACAGCGAUAAAGAAAGAGAGAGUGAGAGAGAGAGAGCAUAGAGAGACAGACAGAGAGUUAGAGAGACAGAGAGUUAGAGAGACAGCGAUAAAGAAAGAGAGAGUGAGAGAGAGAGAGAGAGUUAGAGAGACAGCGAUAAAGAAAGAGAGAGUGAGAGAGAGAGAGCAUAGAGAGACAGAGAGUUAGAGAGACAGCGAUAAAGAAAGAGAGAGUGAGAGAGAGAGGCAUAGAGAGACA
Long non-coding RNA from Oncorhynchus tshawytscha (Chinook salmon), 611 nucleotides. NCBI's taxonomy places the organism in Eukaryota, Metazoa, Chordata, Actinopteri, Salmoniformes, Salmonidae. The record is from Ensembl.